RNAcentral lists this unclassified non-coding RNA (330 nucleotides) under soil metagenome. RNAcentral describes it as "partial contains 5.8S ribosomal RNA, internal transcribed spacer 2, and large subunit ribosomal RNA". The stretch from base 1 to 120 matches the Rfam family "5.8S ribosomal RNA", at positions 35 to 154 of the family's 154-position model. The record is from RNAcentral.
GAUGAAGAACGUAGCGAAAUGCGAUAAGUAAUGUGAAUUGCAGAAUUCAGUGAAUCAUCGAAUCUUUGAACGCACAUUGCGCCCCCUGGUAUUCCGGGGGGCAUGCCUGUCCGAGCGUCAUUACAACCCUCAAGCUCAGCUUGGUGUUGGGCCCCGCCGCCCCGGCGGGCCCUAAAGUCAGUGGCGGUGCCGUCCGGCUCCGAGCGUAGUAAUUCUUCUCGCUCUGGAGGUCCGGUCGUGUGCUCGCCAGCAACCCCCCAUCUUUAUAAUGAUUGACCUCGGAUCAGGUAGGGAUACCCGCUGAACUUAAGCAUAUCAAUAAGCGGAGGA